This 400-nucleotide ribosomal RNA is filed under the name uncultured bacterium. RNAcentral describes it as "bacterial SSU rRNA". It matches the Rfam family "Bacterial small subunit ribosomal RNA", at positions 30 to 416 of the family's 1533-position model. The record is from RNAcentral.
AGUGAACGCUGGCGGCAGGCCUAACACAUGCAAGUCGAGCGGCAGCGCGUCCGACCACCCUCGGGUGGUCGGAUGGCGGCGAGCGGCGGACGGGUGAGGAAUGCAUCGGAAUCUGCCUCGUUGUGGGGGAUAACGUAGGGAAACUUACGCUAAUACCGUAUACGACCUACGGGUGAAAGUGGGGGACCUUCGGGCCUCACGCGAUGAGAUGAGCCGAUGCCGGAUUAGCUAGUUGGCGGGGUAAAGGCCCACCAAGGCGACGAUCCGUAGCUGGUCUGAGAGGAUGAUCAGCCACACUGGAACUGAGACACGGUCCAGACUCCUACGGGAGGCAGCAGUGGGGAAUAUUGGACAAUGGGGGCAACCCUGAUCCAGCCAUUCCGCGUGAGUGAAGAAGGCC